GAUGAACGCUGGCGGCGUGCCUAAUACAUGCAAGUCGAGCGAACGGACGAGAAGCUUGCUUCUCUGAUGUUAGCGGCGGACGGGUGAGUAACACGUGGAUAACCUACCUAUAAGACUGGGAUAACUUCGGGAAACCGGAGCUAAUACCGGAUAAUAUUUUGAACCGCAUGGUUCAAAAGUGAAAGACGGUCUUGCUGUCACUUAUAGAUGGAUCCGCGCUGCAUUAGCUAGUUGGUAAGGUAACGGCUUACCAAGGCAACGAUGCAUAGCCGACCUGAGAGGGUGAUCGGCCACACUGGAACUGAGACACGGUCCAGACUCCUACGGGAGGCAGCAGUAGGGAAUCUUCCGCAAUGGGCGAAAGCCUGACGGAGCAACGCCGCGUGAGUGAUGAAGGUCUUCGGAUCGUAAAACUCUGUUAUUAGGGAAGAACAUAUGUGUAAGUAACUGUGCACAUCUUGACGGUACCUAAUCAGAAAGCCACGGCUAACUACGUGCCAGCAGCCGCGGUAAUACGUAGGUGGCAAGCGUUAUCCGGAAUUAUUGGGCGUAAAGCGCGCGUAGGCGGUUUUUUAAGUCUGAUGUGAAAGCCCACGGCUCAACCGUGGAGGGUCAUUGGAAACUGGAAAACUUGAGUGCAGAAGAGGAAAGUGGAAUUCCAUGUGUAGCGGUGAAAUGCGCAGAGAUAUGGAGGAACACCAGUGGCGAAGGCGACUUUCUGGUCUGUAACUGACGCUGAUGUGCGAAAGCGUGGGGAUCAAACAGGAUUAGAUACCCUGGUAGUCCACGCCGUAAACGAUGAGUGCUAAGUGUUAGGGGGUUUCCGCCCCUUAGUGCUGCAGCUAACGCAUUAAGCACUCCGCCUGGGGAGUACGACCGCAAGGUUGAAACUCAAAGGAAUUGACGGGGACCCGCACAAGCGGUGGAGCAUGUGGUUUAAUUCGAAGCAACGCGAAGAACCUUACCAAAUCUUGACAUCCUUUGACAACUCUAGAGAUAGAGCUUUCCCCUUCGGGGGACAAAGUGACAGGUGGUGCAUGGUUGUCGUCAGCUCGUGUCGUGAGAUGUUGGGUUAUGUCCCGCAACGAGCGCAACCCUUAAGCUUAGUUGCCAUCAUUAAGUUGGGCACUCUAAGUUGACUGCCGGUGACAAACCGGAGGAAGGUGGGGAUGACGUCAAAUCAUCAUGCCCCUUAUGAUUUGGGCUACACACGUGCUACAAUGGACAAUACAAAGGGCAGCGAAACCGCGAGGUCAAGCAAAUCCCAUAAAGUUGUUCUCAGUUCGGAUUGUAGUCUGCAACUCGACUACAUGAAGCUGGAAUCGCUAGUAAUCGUAGAUCAGCAUGCUACGGUGAAUACGUUCCCGGGUCU
RNAcentral lists this ribosomal RNA (1372 nucleotides) under uncultured bacterium. Its description in RNAcentral is "bacterial SSU rRNA". It matches the Rfam family "Bacterial small subunit ribosomal RNA", at positions 28 to 1381 of the family's 1533-position model. The record is from RNAcentral.